UUUCUUCCAAAAGGUACCGUCGCCUGUUAGCACGCCGCCAUUUGUCGUGUUGUCGGUGUGUGGGUGAGGCCGGAAAUUAGCGCCGAAUUAUUGCUCAUCAAAGCACCACCUCCUCGCUGUAGCAGUGGGCGUCGCCGUCACCACAGUAUUGUUCAGGAAGCUCGUGAUAAUGGUACCUAUGGUCCUACGUUGAGGAACGCUCAAUCAAAAAAUGAUAUGAUGAACUUCUUUGGAAUUAAGCGGACUAAGUACAGCUACAUUUGUAUUAUGUGCAUCGCUCAUGCAAGACAGCAGGCCAGGAUGCAGGGACACACAGCUGCAGGGGAUGAGCUGGAGAACCUGCAGCGCAUUCUCCAAGAGACGACGGAAGCCAACGGAGGCCCGCAAAACUUUCCAUCCCAUAAUCGUGAAUGGAGAGCUGGGGGGGG
Amphibalanus amphitrite is the source of this 428-nucleotide long non-coding RNA. RefSeq lists it as uncharacterized. The record is from RefSeq and is a predicted model, not a curated record. NCBI's taxonomy places the organism in Eukaryota, Metazoa, Arthropoda, Thecostraca, Balanomorpha, Balanidae. The transcript is spliced from 3 exons.